GAUUGAACGCUGGCGGCAGGCCUAACACAUGCAAGUCGAACGGUAACAGGAAGAAGCUUGCUUCUUUGCUGACGAGUGGCGGACGGGUGAGUAAUGUCCGGGAAACUGCCUGAUGGAGGGGGAUAACUACUGGAAACGGUAGCUAAUACCGCAUAACGUCGCAAGACCAAAGAGGGGGACCUUCGGGCCUCUUGCCAUCGGAUGUGCCCAGAUGGGAUUAGCUAGUAGGUGGGGUAACGGCUCACCUAGGCGACGAUCCCUAGCUGGUCUGAGAGGAUGACCAGCCACACUGGAACUGAGACACGGUCCAGACUCCUACGGGAGGCAGCAGUGGGGAAUAUUGCACAAUGGGCGCAAGCCUGAUGCAGCCAUGCCGCGUGUAUGAAGAAGGCCUUCGGGUUGUAAAGUACUUUCAGCGGGGAGGAAGGGAGUAAAGUUAAUACCUUUGCUCAUUGACGUUACCCGCAGAAGAAGCACCGGCUA
RNAcentral lists this ribosomal RNA (483 nucleotides) under uncultured Escherichia sp. RNAcentral's name for it is "bacterial SSU rRNA". It matches the Rfam family "Bacterial small subunit ribosomal RNA", at positions 27 to 499 of the family's 1533-position model. Lineage: Bacteria; Pseudomonadati; Pseudomonadota; Gammaproteobacteria; Enterobacterales; Enterobacteriaceae. The record is from RNAcentral.